UAAGGGAGGAUGAGAGAAGCAAAAGACAGACUAAGGCAUUGACUAAGGUCCUGGUCACAACAACAAAUAGGCCAGAAAUUAAGAAACAGGGAGACAGGAAGGGAUACCUGGGCCCACGCCAGAGGCCACCCCUGGCCUCAGAUCAAUAUGCCUACUGUAAAGAAAAAGGAAACUGGGCCAAAGAGUGCCCUAGAAAGAGACAGCCACACCAGCCAGCCAUUCUGACUCUGGAGGAUGACUAGGAAAGUCGGGGCUCGGAUCCCCUCCCCGAGCUCAGGGUAACUUUUGAAGUGGAGGGGACCCCAGUAAACUUUGAAGUGGAUACAGGGGCAAUAUACUCAGCCCUUAAGGUCCCAUUGGGCCCUCUAUCAAAUAAAAGGUCUCUAGUUCAAGGGGCUAACGGCAGUAAAUAUCGGGCUUGGACAACUAAGAGGACCAUGGAC
This 443-nucleotide long non-coding RNA is filed under the name Marmota monax (woodchuck). The stretch from base 240 to 301 matches the Rfam family "Gag/pol translational readthrough site". Lineage: Eukaryota; Metazoa; Chordata; Mammalia; Rodentia; Sciuridae. The record is from RNAcentral.